GAUGAACGCUGGCGGCGUGCCUAAUACAUGCAAGUCGAGCGAACAGACGAGGAGCUUGCUCCUCUGACGUUAGCGGCGGACGGGUGAGUAACACGUGGAUAACCUACCUAUAAGACUGGGAUAACUUCGGGAAACCGGAGCUAAUACCGGAUAAUAUAUUGAACCGCAUGGUUCAAUAGUGAAAGACGGUUUUGCUGUCACUUAUAGAUGGAUCCGCGCCGCAUUAGCUAGUUGGUAAGGUAACGGCUUACCAAGGCAGCGAUGCGUAGCCGACCUGAGAGGGUGAUCGGCCACACUGGAACUGAGACACGGUCCAGACUCCUACGGGAGGCAGCAGUAGGGAAUCUUCCGCAAUGGGCGAAAGCCUGACGGAGCAACGCCGCGUGAGUGAUGAAGGUCUUCGGACCGUAAAACUCUGUUAUUAGGGAAGAACAAAUGUGUAAGUAACUAUGCACGUCUUGACGGUACCUAAUCAGAAAGCCACGGCUAACUACGUG
This 497-nucleotide ribosomal RNA is filed under the name uncultured bacterium. RNAcentral describes it as "partial 16S ribosomal RNA". It matches the Rfam family "Bacterial small subunit ribosomal RNA", at positions 28 to 507 of the family's 1533-position model. The record is from RNAcentral.